GCACGUUUUGCCAGCCCAUAUAAUAAAUGCAACAGCACAGAGAAGAUUAGCAUGGCUCUUGGGCAGGGAUGACUCACAAAUUCAUGAAGCAGUCCACCAUGUU
Phyllostomus hastatus (greater spear-nosed bat) is the source of this 103-nucleotide small nuclear RNA. The record is from RefSeq and is a predicted model, not a curated record. NCBI's taxonomy places the organism in Eukaryota, Metazoa, Chordata, Mammalia, Chiroptera, Phyllostomidae.